GAGUUUGAUCCUGGCUCAGAACGAACGCUGGCGGCAUGCCUAAUACAUGCAAGUCGAACGAGAUCUUCGGGUCUAGUGGCGCACGGGUGCGUAACGCGUGGGAAUCUGCCCUUGGGUUCGGAAUAACGUCGGGAAACUGACGCUAAUACCGGAUGAUGACGAAAGUCCAAAGAUUUAUCGCCCAGGGAUGAGCCCGCGUAGGAUUAGCUAGUUGGUGAGGUAAAGGCUCACCAAGGCUACGAUCCUUAGCUGGUCUGAGAGGAUGAUCAGCCACACUGGGACUGAGACACGGCCCAGACUCCUACGGGAGGCAGCAGUAGGGAAUAUUGGACAAUGGGGGCAACCCUGAUCCAGCAAUGCCGCGUGAGUGAUGAAGGCCUUAGGGUUGUAAAGCUCUUUUACCCGAGAUGAUAAUGACAGUAUCGGGAGAAUAAGCUCCGGCUAACUCCGUG
Molecule: ribosomal RNA, 452 nt
Filed under: uncultured Sphingobium sp.
Lineage: Bacteria; Pseudomonadati; Pseudomonadota; Alphaproteobacteria; Sphingomonadales; Sphingobiaceae
Description: bacterial SSU rRNA
Rfam family: Bacterial small subunit ribosomal RNA
Source: RNAcentral